CCGGGCUGGCCCCUUACCAUGCAUGUCCGAGCGCCCCGCAAGGGGAGCGGCAGACGGGUGAGUAACGCGUGGGAAUCUACCCAUCUCUACGGAACAACUCCGGGAAACUGGAGCUAAUACCGUAUACGUCCUUUUGGAGAAAGAUUUAUCGGAGAUGGAUGAGCCCGCGUUGGAUUAGCUAGUUGGUGGGGUAAUGGCCUACCAAGGCGACGAUCCAUAGCUGGUCUGAGAGGAUGAUCAGCCACACUGGGACUGAGACACGGCCCAGACUCCUACGGGAGGCAGCAGUGGGGAAUAUUGGACAAUGGGCGAAAGCCUGAUCCAGCCAUGCCGCGUGAGUGAUGAAGGCCCUAGGGUUGUAAAGCUCUUUCAACGGUGAAGAUAAUGACGGUAACCGUAGAAGAAGCCCCGGCUAACUUCGUGCCAGCAGCCGCGGUAAUACGAAGGGGGCUAGCGUUGUUCGGAAUUACUGGGCGUAAAGCGCACGUAGGCGGAUACUUAAGUCAGGGGUGAAAUCCCGGGGCUCAACCCCGGAACUGCCUUUGAUACUGGGUAUCUCGAGUCCGGAAGAGGUGAGUGGGAAUUCCGAGGUGUAGAGGUGAAAUUCGUAGAUAUUCGGAGGAACACCAGUGGCGAAGGCGGGCUCACUGGUCCGGUACUGACGCUGAGGUUGCGAAAGCGUGGGGGAGCAAACAGGAUUUAGAUACCCCUGGUAGUCCACGCCGUAAAACGAUGGGAAGCUAGCCGUUGGGCAAGUUUACUUGUCGGGUGGCGCAGCUAACGCAUUUAAGCUUCCCGCCUGGGGAGUACGUCGCAUGAUUAAAACUCAAGGAAAUUGACGGGGGCCCGCCCCAGCGGUUGGAUCAUGUGGUUUAUUUCGAUGCAACGACCAGAACCUUAACAGCCUCUUGACACUUCCGGUCGCGUUUCCAGAAAAUGGUUUCCUUCAGCUCCGCUGGACUGGGUACGAGGGGCUUGCAUGGUUUCGUCCCCCGUGUUGGGAGGAUGUUGGGUAAAGCCCCCCAACGAGCACACACCCCUCCCCCCUGAGGUGCUCUCACUAAGGUGGGUCCCCUUAGAGGCGACUGGCCGGUGAUAACGCCGAAGAGGAAGGGGGGGGAUGAGCUGAC
RNAcentral lists this ribosomal RNA (1130 nucleotides) under Mesorhizobium silamurunense. Its description in RNAcentral is "bacterial SSU rRNA". It matches the Rfam family "Bacterial small subunit ribosomal RNA", at positions 40 to 1194 of the family's 1533-position model. Lineage: Bacteria; Pseudomonadati; Pseudomonadota; Alphaproteobacteria; Hyphomicrobiales; Phyllobacteriaceae. The record is from RNAcentral.